UUAUAUUCUUCUUUUUCUUCUUCUGAUGCUAUUGCAUUUGCUUUUUAAUCCAUGCCCAACUACUUUUAUUUCCAUCCCUUUAGGGCCUAGGAAUGUUUUGGUCCCAUUCAAUCAGAACAUCAUGCAAAAUAUUCUUUCCUCAUUUGGUUUGAUUUAAUCUUCACAUCAGGCGAAAGGCUUCAUGUACAAAAGCCCCAUUACUUAUAAAAAAAAUGGUUCAAAAGCCCCGUUAUCACUUCGAAGAUGCUGCAAACAAGUUUAACCUUUGAUCUUGUUUUCUUUAAUAAUCCAUUUGAUUUGGUUACAUAAGUUUAAUCUUCAGAUAACACCUUUACUCAGCCUGCCAUCUACAAUUUUGAAUGCUUGAAUCCUUUUUUCAUUCAACGAGUUUAAAAUAAAAGAGGGAAGCAACAAAAGCUCAAACCCAUCACUCAAUCCCUUUUUCAUUCAUCUAGUCUUAAUGUUUAUGUACUUGCUAUUUAUCAAGUUCUUAUGUCAAUAUUUUGUGCGUUUUCUUUGUCUCUGAGGCGGAUGUGUUUCAUGGCAUGGAAGAGUGCAAAGUUGGGGAAGCAACCAGCUGUAGAUAUGAAGAUAUUGCAUAUACUUUGGAUCAAGUAACAAUCACUGAACAACAUUCUUGAUGUAGGAAACCAUAUCAAGAGUACAAGUCUGAUUUAUUUGGUCUGCGGCUAAAAUCUAAAAUGAAGAUAUUGCUUAAACAGAAAAUUUGCUUCCUUACAUCAAUGCAAGAUCUUAGACAAAGUCCUCUAGUUGUUGCAAAUAGCAUUCGACCAACAGAUUAACAUAUACCUUAUGGGCAGAUUAUUUCUGAUGGACAAGGAAGAUAAGAUCAAUCUCAAAGAAGAAACCCCAUCAAGGACGUCAAGAAUUCAGUUGAGGAAGGAAAUGAACAUGAUCUUGGCACCACCACUCGCAAAGUAAAUCGAGGAAGAUUAUAUGAUCACAGCAGAAGCUCAUUAAUCUAGUAGCCAGCGAGUAUUUGAAGUUAUAAGCAUGGAGAAUGGUGUAGUGCGCUACAGUGUUGAGUUUUACAGUGAUGAAGAUCUUUUGACCUCAGAUUUCAUAUGUUGAGGCCUUAAUGUCAUCUAUUUUCUCCCCAACAUCAGGGUUAUUAUGUUGAAGUCUAAACAUAUUGGAGGAGCAUAGCUAAUGCUGGUGAAAAUCAUUAAGCAAUGAUGCACCUCAUAUAGCCAUGUCUUACAUUCUGGUGCAAGAUAGCUAAUUGAAAAGGCUCCAUAUGCAGAACAGAAAAGUUCUAUAUAUCAAAACAACAAAGCUCUGUUCUCUCCUCCCCGAAACAUUGUCCUUGUUUACAAAGUCAUGGACACAAAAAGGCUUAUAGAUGAGGCUCCAAUCAACAUCCCGAAUCUUACAUAUCAUGGAUGUCAAGAAGAAACAAUGUCAAGCUGUGACAUGUGAAUAGGAGACAACUGGCUUUAUCUAUAUCUGUAAAUUCUUCUUUCCAUGUCCUUUUGUUGUUUGAAUGUGAAUGACUGGUUAUCAAGUUUGUUAUUAUAGGGACAUGAUUUCAAAACUACGUAGAUUGCUUUUGUUAAGAGGAAAAUUUUAUUUGUAUAAGCAAUAUUUCUGUUAAAUUUCAUAUUGCUUUUGUUAAGCAAUAUGUCAACCAAUUUCCUAAAAGUCAAGUCAACAAUUUGGGUUUGGAAGCAGUUUGUUUAUAUAUAUUUAAAUUGUUAGCCUAA
RNA transcript from Quercus lobata, 1724 nucleotides. RefSeq lists it as uncharacterized. The record is from RefSeq and is a predicted model, not a curated record. The transcript has 5 exons. Lineage: Eukaryota; Viridiplantae; Streptophyta; Magnoliopsida; Fagales; Fagaceae.